RNAcentral lists this ribosomal RNA (2890 nucleotides) under Vibrio parahaemolyticus. RNAcentral describes it as "23S ribosomal RNA". It matches the Rfam family "Bacterial large subunit ribosomal RNA". Lineage: Bacteria; Pseudomonadati; Pseudomonadota; Gammaproteobacteria; Vibrionales; Vibrionaceae. The record is from RNAcentral.
GGUUAAGUGACUAAGCGUACACGGUGGAUGCCUUGGCAGUCAGAGGCGAUGAAAGACGUAGUAACUUGCGAUAAGCCCAGAUUAGGUAGUAACAACCAUUUGAGUCUGGGAUUUCUGAAUGGGGAAACCCACGUGCAUAAGCACGUAUCCUUACCUGAAUACAUAGGGUAAGGAGGCGAACCGGGGGAACUGAAACAUCUAAGUACCCCGAGGAAAAGAAAUCAACCGAGAUUCCGAAAGUAGCGGCGAGCGAAAUUGGACUAGCCCUUAAGCUUUACACGCGUUAGACGAACGGUCUGGAAAGUCCGACGAUACAGGGUGAUAGUCCCGUAGUUGACGACGUGUGUUCAGUGAAAUCGAGUAGGGCGGGACACGUGAUAUCCUGUCUGAAUAUGGGGGGACCAUCCUCCAAGGCUAAAUACUACUGACUGACCGAUAGUGAACCAGUACCGUGAGGGAAAGGCGAAAAGAACCCCUGUGAGGGGAGUGAAAUAGAACCUGAAACCGUGUACGUACAAGCAGUAGGAGCAGGCUUUGUCCUGUGACUGCGUACCUUUUGUAUAAUGGGUCAGCGACUUAUAUUCAGUGGCAAGGUUAACCAUCUAGGGGAGCCGUAGGGAAACCGAGUCUUAACUGGGCGUUCAGUCUCUGGAUAUAGACCCGAAACCAGGUGAUCUAGCCAUGGGCAGGUUGAAGGUUGAGUAACAUCAACUGGAGGACCGAACCGACUAAUGUUGAAAAAUUAGCGGAUGACUUGUGGCUAGGGGUGAAAGGCCAAUCAAACCUGGAGAUAGCUGGUUCUCCCCGAAAGCUAUUUAGGUAGCGCCUCGGACGAAUACUACUGGGGGUAGAGCACUGUUAAGGCUAGGGGGUCAUCCCGACUUACCAACCCUUUGCAAACUCCGAAUACCAGUAAGUACUAUCCGGGAGACACACGGCGGGUGCUAACGUCCGUCGUGGAGAGGGAAACAACCCAGACCGCCAGCUAAGGUCCCAAAUUACUACUAAGUGGGAAACGAUGUGGGAAGGCUCAGACAGCCAGGAUGUUGGCUUAGAAGCAGCCAUCAUUUAAAGAAAGCGUAAUAGCUCACUGGUCGAGUCGGCCUGCGCGGAAGAUGUAACGGGGCUAAGUAGUAAACCGAAGCUGCGGCAAUGUGCUUUUGCACAUUGGGUAGGGGAGCGUUCUGUAAGCGGUUGAAGGUGUGUGGUAACGCAUGCUGGACGUAUCAGAAGUGCGAAUGCUGACAUGAGUAACGAUAAAGGGGGUGAAAACCUCCUCGCCGGAAGACCAAGGGUUCCUGUCCAACGUUAAUCGGGGCAGGGUAAGUCGACCCCUAAGGCGAGGCCGAAAGGCGUAGUCGAUGGGAAACGGGUUAAUAUUCCCGUACUUCUUACAAUUGCGAUGGGGGGACGGAGAAGGCUAGGUGGGCCUGGCGACGGUUGUCCAGGUUCAAGUGCGUAGGCUUAAGAGUUAGGUAAAUCCGGCUCUUUUUAAGGCUGAGACACGACGUCGAGCCACUACGGUGGUGAAGUCAUUGAUGCCAUGCUUCCAGGAAAAGCCUCUAAGCUUCAGAUUGUAAGGAAUCGUACCCCAAACCGACACAGGUGGUCGGGUAGAGAAUACCAAGGCGCUUGAGAGAACUCGGGUGAAGGAACUAGGCAAAAUGGUACCGUAACUUCGGGAGAAGGUACGCUCUUGAUGGUGAAGUCCCUCGCGGAUGGAGCUGACGAGAGUCGCAGAUACCAGGUGGCUGCAACUGUUUAUUAAAAACACAGCACUGUGCAAAAUCGUAAGAUGACGUAUACGGUGUGACGCCUGCCCGGUGCCGGAAGGUUAAUUGAUGGGGUUAGACUUCGGUCGAAGCUCUUGAUCGAAGCCCCGGUAAACGGCGGCCGUAACUAUAACGGUCCUAAGGUAGCGAAAUUCCUUGUCGGGUAAGUUCCGACCUGCACGAAUGGCGUAAUGAUGGCCACGCUGUCUCCACCCGAGACUCAGUGAAAUUGAAAUCGCUGUGAAGAUGCAGUGUACCCGCGGCUAGACGGAAAGACCCCGUGAACCUUUACUACAGCUUGGCACUGAACAUUGACCCUACAUGUGUAGGAUAGGUGGGAGGCUUUGAAGCACGUACGCCAGUAUGUGUGGAGCCGUCCUUGAAAUACCACCCUUGUAGUGUUGAUGUUCUAACGUCGACCCCUAAUCGGGGUUGCGGACAGUGCCUGGUGGGUAGUUUGACUGGGGCGGUCUCCUCCCAAAGAGUAACGGAGGAGCACGAAGGUGGGCUAAUCACGGUUGGACAUCGUGAGGUUAGUGCAAUGGCAUAAGCCCGCUUGACUGCGAGAAUGACAAUUCGAGCAGGUGCGAAAGCAGGUCAUAGUGAUCCGGUGGUUCUGAAUGGAAGGGCCAUCGCUCAACGGAUAAAAGGUACUCCGGGGAUAACAGGCUGAUACCGCCCAAGAGUUCAUAUCGACGGCGGUGUUUGGCACCUCGAUGUCGGCUCAUCACAUCCUGGGGCUGAAGUCGGUCCCAAGGGUAUGGCUGUUCGCCAUUUAAAGUGGUACGCGAGCUGGGUUUAGAACGUCGUGAGACAGUUCGGUCCCUAUCUGCCGUGGGCGUUGGAAGAUUGAAGGGGGCUGCUCCUAGUACGAGAGGACCGGAGUGGACGAACCUCUGGUGUUCGGGUUGUGUCGCCAGACGCAUUGCCCGGUAGCUAAGUUCGGAAUCGAUAACCGCUGAAAGCAUCUAAGCGGGAAGCGAGCCCUGAGAUGAGUCUUCCCUGAUACUUUAAGUAUCCUAAAGGGUUGUCGGAGACUACGACGUUGAUAGGUCAGGUGUGUAAGUGCUGUGAGGCAUUGAGCUAACUGAUACUAAUUGCCCGUGAGGCUUAACCAU